AAGAUGGAGGGGACAAAAGGGACCCCUCAGGGGCAGGGUGCCACCCCAGGAGGCCUUAAGUGCCACCAGGUCCCUGACACCUCCUCUGUCCCCUCCCCAGCUGUCCCCAGCCCUGCUGCAGCCACAGGUCACCGUGGUGGCCAUCCUGGGCGAGCUGCUGGACACCCUGCCCAGAUGGGAUGAGGAGAUGAUGCUGCUGUUGCCCCCAGGGUGCCUGCACAGGGACCUGAAGGAAUUCACCUAUUAUCUCCAUGGAACCAUGUGGGAGACUAAGCGUGUCUGGUACCACUGUAGGGACCGCGACAGUAUUGCUCGCCCUGUCAUCUCCCUGAGCCGGGCCCUGGCCGCCUACGAGAGCACGCCAUGGACCACCUGGUUCAAUGUGACAACGGCAGCCAGCGUGUUGCGCCUGUCAGUGCUUGCGGACAGCUGGGCCGAGCUGGCCAGGAAGGCCACCAAGCUCCGCAAUGCCUGGAGGGAGGUGGUGACUGAGGCAGCCUCUGAGGAGGACAAGGCCACCACCCGAGUGAGGAAGCUAGAGGAAAAGGCUGUGAUCCGACAGCUCAGGAAAACAUGGGGGAGCUGGGUCAGGCCCUGGGCAGGGAGGAGGGGGCCGAGGUGAGGAGAGAGGCCAUGGAGGCUGCCAGCGAGGCAACAAGGGCCACCAUGGUGAGACAGCUGAUGAAGGUGGCCCUUGGGCUGCUGGAAUGCUUGGUGGCCGCAUGUGACAAAGCCACCAUGUUCCCCCGGGAGCUGCAGCGCAGGGUUGGGGACAUUGAGGCCGCCCUGGAGGGGACAAAUGAGGUGUCCCCCAAAGUCCCUGAGGAUUUGGUGGUCAAGGUGGCCGAGGCCGAGAGGCUGUGGGAGGCCAACGCCUGCCUGGCCAAAUAUCACCUCCUGGGGACACUUCAAGAGAUCAUCGACUUCUAUUUCACCUGUGGUCCCAGCAGCCCCAGUGCCUGUGUGGUGGCCAAGCGCUGCCAAAGAGCCACUGAGGACAUCCCAAGGCUCCUUCGACCCCCAGAGA
RNAcentral lists this long non-coding RNA (1027 nucleotides) under Zonotrichia albicollis (white-throated sparrow). Its description in RNAcentral is "lncRNA (ENSZALG00000001342.1)". Lineage: Eukaryota; Metazoa; Chordata; Aves; Passeriformes; Passerellidae. The record is from RNAcentral.